UAUAUCCCUCUGUACCCUUUGGACUUUGGAGCAAAGUAGGAGUAUCUAACAAGGCUUCAACCAAUACACUCUGUCAUGCUUAUGCAUUAACCCAAAAAAAAAAAAAA
Molecule: long non-coding RNA, 107 nt
Organism: Vitis riparia (riverbank grape)
Lineage: Eukaryota; Viridiplantae; Streptophyta; Magnoliopsida; Vitales; Vitaceae
Exons: 2
Source: RefSeq, a predicted model, not a curated record